GAUAAACAACACCUGGAACAAAUCCACCAUUCUUUUGGUGUUAUCGAUGGAGAACUCUAUCAGAAGGAGUGAGAAGAGUGAGAACCGUGGAAAGUGUCAUCUGGAAUGGUGCACUGGCCGGAAAAUGUGCUCGGGCGUUCCUAAAUAAAUCAGGAACUAUGCAAAAUAACCGAGGAGAGAGAGAAGCAAAUGAGGAAUCAACAAGAGAAGCCAUGAGUUGGGAACUCUUGAAGCCAGAGGGUGACGCUUCCUUGAAUUACUGAAAGCGAUAAGGACUGAGAAGAGGUUAGAGAGAUUGUUCUCUGAGGGAUGGAGGGCAGAGAAGAACGAGGAAGAGAAGAGGAGUGAUGGAAGGUUUCAGCAUCUGAGGAUAAGCUGGGACCGUCUUCAUCCUGCCUCUCCCACCAUGGGCUCCACGUGCCUCUGCUUUGUGGCCUUUUGCAUCCUGGGAACAGGCUCCCUGGAUGCUGCUGUAACCCAGAUCCCAAGGAACAAGAUCACAAACACAGGGAAGAGAACUGUACUGGAAUGUUCUCAGACUAAUGAUCAUGAGUAUAUGUACUGGUAUCGACAAGAUCCAGGAGAGGGGCUCCGGUCCAUCUACUACUCCUAUGAUAUCAAGUCUUUUAACCAAGGAGAGGUCGCCUCUGGGUACAAUGUUUCUCGCGAGGAGAAGGAAAGAUUCUUCCUAUAUCUGGAGUCGGCCUCCCCCAACCAUUCAGCCCUUUACUUCUGUGCCAGCAGUUAUUCACAUAGCACUUCCUGCCACCUGUUCUCUAAACAGAAAGGCCAGCACGUUUGCUCAGAAGGGCACGGAGGCUUCUUAGAUGUCACAUGUAGAGGUCUGAGUGGUUCUCAGUCUGAGCUUAGGGCCACCCUGGGCCAGAGUCCCCAGACCAUGGGAUGCCUCUGAAACCACAGGCUAGAUGGAACCUACCUCCCCGGCCUACAGACCCUCUUGAUCUGUUCUGGGGAGGCAAACCGAACACCAUCCUCCUAGGAGAAUGGACCUAAGCAUCCACUACCAAAUAUUUCUUGUUAGCUCAUCAACAGUGUGGUUUUUAAGGGUCCUUUGGCCUCUGUCUCCACACACCUUAUAAUACCCCAUCUGCAUCCUUUCUGUUCCUGCUGAUGAGACCUCUAUCCUGCCAGCCCUUUCUCAGUCCUGGUCUCUCCAAGCUUCUGCCACUCUUUCGCUCUGUAUUUGGUGGCCUUUAUGCCAAGAACAAUUGGACUAGCUUGUUUUUAAAGCUUCAUUCUAAGUACAUUUAAUUACCAUUCAAUCUGACUCCAAAAGUGAAGUUCAAGUACUAGAAACUGUGAUCUAUAAUAGUUAUCUUCUGAGAGUUCCUGAUGCAGCUUCUUGGGUUAAGAACCCAACUAGUAUCCACGAGG
This is a non-coding RNA of Sus scrofa (pig), 1395 nucleotides long. NCBI's taxonomy places the organism in Eukaryota, Metazoa, Chordata, Mammalia, Artiodactyla, Suidae. The record is from the annotation of a RefSeq genome assembly.